This 508-nucleotide ribosomal RNA is filed under the name uncultured bacterium. Its description in RNAcentral is "bacterial SSU rRNA". It matches the Rfam family "Bacterial small subunit ribosomal RNA", at positions 37 to 518 of the family's 1533-position model. The record is from RNAcentral.
UGGCGGCGUGCCUAAUACAUGCAAGUCGAACGGUCUUUCUAUGGAAGCUUGCUUCCACUGAGAAGAUAGUGGCGAACGGGUGAGUAACACGUGGGUAACCUGCCCAUAAGAGGGGGAUAACAUCCGGAAACGGGUGCUAAUACCGCAUAGUUUUCUUGGUCGCAUGAUCGGGAAAGGAAAGACGGCCUUUGUGCUGUCGCUUAUGGAUGGACCCGCGGCGUAUUAGUUAGUUGGUGAGGUAACGGCUCACCAAGACGAUGAUACGUAGCCGACCUGAGAGGGUGAUCGGCCACAUUGGGACUGAGACACGGCCCAAACUCCUACGGGAGGCAGCAGUAGGGAAUCUUCCGCAAUGGACGAAAGUCUGACGGAGCAACGCCGCGUGAGUGAAAGAAGGUUUUCGGAUCGUAAAACUCUGUUGUCAGAGAAGAACAAGUUGGAGAGUAACUGCUCCAGCCUUGACGGUAUUUGACCAGAAAGCCACGGCUAACUACGUGCCAGCCGCUGC